This 501-nucleotide ribosomal RNA is filed under the name uncultured bacterium. RNAcentral describes it as "bacterial SSU rRNA". It matches the Rfam family "Bacterial small subunit ribosomal RNA", at positions 62 to 543 of the family's 1533-position model. The record is from RNAcentral.
UCGAGCGAGAACGGGGAGCAAUCCCUUAGUAAAGCGGCACACGGGUCAGUAAUGCGUGGAUAACUUGCCCUCGAGACUGGGAUAACGGCGGGAAACUGCCGCUAAUACCGGAUGGCCUCGCGAACCGGCAUCGGAUUGCGAGUAAACGGUGGGGACCGAAAGGCCUGCUGCUCGAGGAGAGGUUCACGACCUAUCAGCUAGUUGGUGAGGUAACGGCUCACCAAGGCGACGACGGGUAGGCGGGCUGAGAGGCUGACCGCCGACACUGGGACUGAGAACUGCCCAGACUCCUACGGGAGGCUGCAGUCGAGAAUCUUCCGCAAUGGACGCAAGUCUGACGGAGCGACGCCGCGUGUGGGAUGAAGGUCUUUGGAUUGUAAACCACUGUCACGCGUUAUGAAUGCGCGGCAGUUAACACCUGCUGCGUUGACAAAGGCGCGAGAGGAAGCCACGGCUAACUCUGUGCCAGCAGCCGCGGUAAUACAGAGGUGGCAAGCGUUG